ACGUAGGGUGCGAGCGUUAAUCGGAAUUACUGGGCGUAAAGCGUGCGCAGGCGGUUCGUUGUGUCGGUGGUGAAAGCCCAGGGCUCAACCCUGGAAUUGCCUUCGAUACUGAAGAUCUCGAGACCGGAAGAGGUAAGUGGAACUGCGAGUGUAGAGGUGAAAUUCGUAGAUAUUCGCAAGAACACCAGUGGCGAAGGCGGCUUACUGGUCCGGUUCUGACGCUGAGGCGCGAAAGCGUGGGGAGCAAACAGGA
RNAcentral lists this ribosomal RNA (253 nucleotides) under uncultured prokaryote. Its description in RNAcentral is "partial 16S ribosomal RNA". It matches the Rfam family "Bacterial small subunit ribosomal RNA", at positions 525 to 777 of the family's 1533-position model. The record is from RNAcentral.